RNAcentral lists this ribosomal RNA (458 nucleotides) under uncultured bacterium. RNAcentral's name for it is "partial 16S ribosomal RNA". It matches the Rfam family "Bacterial small subunit ribosomal RNA", at positions 338 to 795 of the family's 1533-position model. The record is from RNAcentral.
CCUACGGGAGGCAGCAGUGAGGAAUAUUGGUCAAUGGCCGGAAGGCUGAACCAGCCAAGUCGCGUGAGGGACGACUGCCCUAUGGGUUGUAAACCUCUUUUAUAAGGGAAGAAUAAAUGCUACGUGUAGCCUUAUGCCUGUACCUUAUGAAUAAGCAUCGGCUAACUCCGUGCCAGCAGCCGCGGUAAUACGGAGGAUGCGAGCGUUAUCCGGAUUUAUUGGGUUUAAAGGGUGCGUGGGCGGUUUUUUAAGUUAGUGGUUAAACGUCGGGGCUUCACCUUGAUUUGCCAUUAAUACUGUAAGACGCGAGGUGAGACGAGGUAGGCGGAAUAAGUUAAGUAGCGGGGAAAUGCUUAGAUAUAACUUAGAACUCCGAUAGCGAAGGCAGCUUACCAGGCGGAGACUGACGCUGAAGAACGAGAGCGUGGGUAGCGAACAGGAUUAGAUACCCCGUAGUC